Molecule: ribosomal RNA, 400 nt
Filed under: uncultured bacterium
Lineage: Bacteria
Description: bacterial SSU rRNA
Rfam family: Bacterial small subunit ribosomal RNA
Source: RNAcentral
AACGAACGCUGGCGGCGCGCUUAAUACAUGCAAGUCGAACGAGAAGGUGUAGCAAUACACUUGUAAAGUGGCGAACGGGUGAGGAAUACAUGGGUAACCGUACCCUCGAGUGGGGAACAACCAGCCGAAAGGUUGGCUAAUACCGCGUACGCUUCCGGGUCUUCGGAUUCGGAAGGAAAGUCAUACCGUGGGUAUGACGCUCAAGGAUGGGCUCAUGUCCUAUCAGCUUGUUGGUAGGGGUAACGGCCUACCAAGGCUCCGACGGGUAGGCUGGUCUGAGAGGACGAUCAGCCACACUGGCACUGCGACACGGGCCAGACUCCUACGGGAGGCAGCAGUAAGGAAUAUUGCGCAAUGGGCGAAAGCCUGACGCAGCGACGCCGCGUGGGGGAGUGAAGGU